Molecule: unclassified non-coding RNA, 66 nt
Filed under: synthetic construct
Source: RNAcentral
GAUCCGCUGACAUGAAUGAGUGUUGUUCAAGAGACAACACUCAUUCAUGUCAGUUUUUUACGCGUG